This 72-nucleotide transfer RNA is filed under the name Bos taurus (domestic cattle). It matches the Rfam family "tRNA". Rfam says of the family: Transfer RNA (tRNA) molecules are approximately 80 nucleotides in length. Their secondary structure includes four short double-helical elements and three loops (D, anti-codon, and T loops). Lineage: Eukaryota; Metazoa; Chordata; Mammalia; Artiodactyla; Bovidae. The record is from Rfam by way of RNAcentral. RNAcentral also lists the same sequence under 3 other names.
UCCUUGCUGGCUCAGAUGGUAAAGAAUCAGUCUGCAAUGUAGGAGACCCAGGUUCGAUCCCUGGGUUGGGAA